This 952-nucleotide long non-coding RNA is filed under the name Nicotiana benthamiana. RNAcentral's name for it is "long non-coding RNA (NBEN_LNC010270)". Lineage: Eukaryota; Viridiplantae; Streptophyta; Magnoliopsida; Solanales; Solanaceae. The record is from RNAcentral.
AAUACCAAACUCAUACUUCUUUAACCUAAAAUUUCUCUCUAUAUAAUCAAAAGACACAAAAAAAACCCCAAUCAGAUCCCUAAAAUCAAAAUUAUCUUCUGCCGCUUUCAAAAGGAACCCACCCCCUAGCGCUGCUUCAUCUUCCCCACACUUUGAGCAGCCGAAACCCAGCAACUUCAGUCACCAAAAUAGCAGAAAAAAAAAUCAUGAAAAUCCAACCAUGUAGCCCAGCUCCAAAAACCCCCAAACCAGCCCUCUUCUCAGUCCAAAAAUGACUAUGAAAUAGCCCCAAACAACCUCCAAAAACACAGCAAAAGACCAGCUGUGAACAGCCCCAAAUUCAGCUCUAAUACACCCCAAAACUGGCCCAACACAGCCACAAAAUCUGCUCAAAAUAGCUCCAAAACAAGCUGAAAAACACUCCUCAAAAUAGCUUCAAAACGACCUGAAAAAAACUGGCCCAAGCUCAGCUGAAAUUCCGCCACUAAACAGCCAUGAAAUGUGCUGAAGUUCACACAAAAAUGCAGCUCCACAACUACUGCAAAUCCGCUGAAAAAACAGUCCUAAAAACCAGCCUUCCACCUCCGAGCACCAUCGCUAAAGUUGCCUAAUCGAGUCGAGGUCUUCGAGUUUCAAAAGUUCUGGUCAUGGUCCCUUGUUUCAGUUUCCUGUUGCUAUUGUGAUGGUGAUGCUCAAGGGUAAAGAAGAAAGCUUAUAUUUGAAUUGAAGAAAAUUUGUUGUUAAUUUUUUCUCUUCCCUUUAAUUUGCCUUUCGUUUGAUGCUGUGACGAGUUUUCUGUUUUGUGGAGCUUACAGGACUAUGGACUCUCCAUUAUGAUUUCAUUUAUGAGCUUGGUUCAUCAUGGUUUGUUUACAUUUGUUCUUCUUCGCAAUAUUAUUAUGUUGUUUUAAUUUAUUGGCUUGACUGACAGAUGAAUUCUUGUUUAUCACCC